RNAcentral lists this ribosomal RNA (631 nucleotides) under uncultured bacterium. Its description in RNAcentral is "bacterial SSU rRNA". It matches the Rfam family "Bacterial small subunit ribosomal RNA", at positions 9 to 623 of the family's 1533-position model. The record is from RNAcentral.
GAGUUUGAUCCUGGCUCAGAACGAACGCUGGCGGCGCGUUUUAAGCAUGCAAGUCGGACGGCAAGGGCUGUAGCAAUAUGGCCCCUAGAGUGGCGAACGGGUGAGUAACACGUAGGUGAUCUACCUCUGGGUGGGGGAUAGCCCGUGGAAACACGGGGUAAUACCGCAUGAGGCCUUGUGGGUAAAGCCAUGAGGUGAAAGGUGCAGCUUGCACCGUCUGGGGAUGAGCCUGCGGUCCAUUAGUUAGUUGGCGGGGUAACGGCCCACCAAGACGACGAUGGAUAGCCGGCCUGAGAGGGUGUACGGCCACACUGGAACUGAGACACGGUCCAGACUCCUACGGGAGGCAGCAGCUAAGAAUCUUCCGCAAUGGGGGAAACCCUGACGGAGCGACGCCGCGUGGAUGAUGAAGGCCGUAAGGUUGUAAAAUCCUUUUGUCGGUGAAGAAUAAGGAGGGGAGUGGAAAGCCCUUCUGAUGACGUUAGCCGACGAAUAAGCCUCGGCUAAUUACGUGCCAGCAGCCGCGGUAAUACGUAUGGGGCAAGCGUUGUUCGGAUUUAUUGUGCGUAAAGGGCGUGCAGGCGGCUCAUCAAGUCUGGUGUGAUAAAUGCAGGGCCUAACUCUGCAUAUG